CAGCAGCCCUGAAGAGUUGUUGCCCAGCAUGGGAACCACCCCCAUCAAUAUCUCGCAAUGGUGGACUUGCCGUUAUGGUCGCCACAGGCAAAGGAAAGGCGAACAUUUUGAACAGCAUGGAGAAAGCCAUGUGGGUGUUGGGAUGCUGCUUGCCCUGGGUGUGCCCUGUGGCUGUGGAUCACGCAAGGCAGUGGACAUGCCAUGCAAGGCUCACCAUUGGCAAAGAAACGAAGUCCUUCCUCUCCUGUGAGGACCAGCAGCAUGUGGGAUUCCCAGGAAAACUGAAGCCCAGCUCAC
Non-coding RNA from Manis javanica (Malayan pangolin), 297 nucleotides. NCBI's taxonomy places the organism in Eukaryota, Metazoa, Chordata, Mammalia, Pholidota, Manidae. The record is from RefSeq and is a predicted model, not a curated record.